GGGGCCGUAGUCUAGCUUGGUAGGAUGCCGGCCUGGGGCGCCGGUGAGCCCGGGUUCAAAUCCCGGCGGCCCCA
Molecule: transfer RNA, 74 nt
Filed under: Thermoproteus sp. AZ2
Lineage: Archaea; Thermoproteati; Thermoproteota; Thermoprotei; Thermoproteales; Thermoproteaceae
Also listed under: 1 other name
Description: tRNA-Pro
Rfam family: tRNA
About the family: Transfer RNA (tRNA) molecules are approximately 80 nucleotides in length. Their secondary structure includes four short double-helical elements and three loops (D, anti-codon, and T loops).
Source: RNAcentral